This 132-nucleotide ribosomal RNA is filed under the name Fukomys damarensis (Damara mole-rat). The record is from RNAcentral. Lineage: Eukaryota; Metazoa; Chordata; Mammalia; Rodentia; Bathyergidae.
AUUUUGGCCCAUACCACCCUGAGAGGGCCUGCUCUCUUCUGAUAUUGGAAACUAAGCAGGCUUGGGCCUGGUUAGUAGUUUCUCAGUGUGGUGAUGUGUGCUUAUAAUGCCAGCACUCAGGAGGCUGAGGCA